GGGGGCAUAGCUCAGUGGUAGGGAGUUUGACUACAGAUCAAGAGGUCCCCGGUUCAAAUCCGGGUGCCCCUU
Molecule: transfer RNA, 72 nt
Organism: Astyanax mexicanus (Mexican tetra)
Lineage: Eukaryota; Metazoa; Chordata; Actinopteri; Characiformes; Acestrorhamphidae
Rfam family: tRNA
About the family: Transfer RNA (tRNA) molecules are approximately 80 nucleotides in length. Their secondary structure includes four short double-helical elements and three loops (D, anti-codon, and T loops).
Source: Rfam